This 162-nucleotide ribosomal RNA is filed under the name Microsphaeropsis sp. RNAcentral describes it as "partial large subunit ribosomal RNA". It matches the Rfam family "Eukaryotic large subunit ribosomal RNA", at positions 99 to 261 of the family's 3401-position model. Lineage: Eukaryota; Fungi; Ascomycota; Dothideomycetes; Pleosporales; Didymellaceae. The record is from RNAcentral.
CGGCAACAGCUCAGAUUUGAAAUCUGGCCUUUGGGCCCGAGUUGUAAUCUGCAGAGGGCGCUUUGGCAUUGGCAGCGGUCCAAGUUCCUUGGAACAGGACGUCACAGAGGGUGAGAAUCCCGUACGUGGUCGCUAGCCUUUACCGUGUAAAGCCCCUUCGAC